Molecule: transfer RNA, 77 nt
Filed under: Gemmata sp. SH-PL17
Lineage: Bacteria; Pseudomonadati; Planctomycetota; Planctomycetia; Gemmatales; Gemmataceae
Description: tRNA-Lys
Source: RNAcentral
CGAAAACGUCUUCCGGUUUACGCAGGUCGGACCGAUUCUUGCUCGGUCUCAACUCGUUCGAUCGGGUCGUUUUCGUC